AGUGAACGCUGGCGGUAGGCCUAACACAUGCAAGUCGAACGGCAGCACAGUAAGAGCUUGCUCUUACGGGUGGCGAGUGGCGGACGGGUGAGGAAUACAUCGGAAUCUACUUUUUCGUGGGGGAUAACGUAGGGAAACUUACGUUAAUACCGCAUACGACCUACGGGUGAAAGCAGGGGAUCUUCGGACCUUGCGCGAUUGAAUGAGCCGAUGUCGGAUUAGCUAGUUGGCGGGGUAAAGGCCCACCAAGGCGACGAUCCGUAGCUGGUCUGAGAGGAUGAUCAGCCACACUGGAACUGAGACACGGUCCAGACCCCUACGGGAGGCAGCAGUGGGGAAUAUUGGACAAUGGCGCAAGCCUGAUCCAGCCAUACCGCGUGGGUGAAGAAGGCCUUCGGGUUGUAAAGCCCUUUUGUUGGGGAAGAAAAGCAGCAGGUUAAUACCCCGCUGUUCUGACGGUACCCAAAGAAUAAGCACCGGCUAACUUCGUG
This 491-nucleotide ribosomal RNA is filed under the name uncultured bacterium. RNAcentral's name for it is "partial 16S ribosomal RNA". It matches the Rfam family "Bacterial small subunit ribosomal RNA", at positions 29 to 507 of the family's 1533-position model. The record is from RNAcentral.